RNAcentral lists this ribosomal RNA (392 nucleotides) under uncultured bacterium. Its description in RNAcentral is "bacterial SSU rRNA". It matches the Rfam family "Bacterial small subunit ribosomal RNA", at positions 28 to 412 of the family's 1533-position model. The record is from RNAcentral.
GAUGAACGCUAGCUACAGGCUUAACACAUGCAAGUCGAGGGGAAACGAUAUUGGAAGCUUGCUUCCGAUAGGCGUCGACCGGCGCACGGGUGAGUAACGCGUAUCCAACCUGCCCACCACUUGGGAAUAACCUUGCGAAAGUAAGACUAAUGCCCAAUGACGUUGAAAGAAGACAUCUGAUUUCAACUAAGAUUUAUCGGUGAUGGAUGGGGAUGCGUCCGAUUAGCUUGUUGGCGGGGUAACGGCCCACCAAGGCAACGAUCGGUAGGGGUUCUGAGAGGAAGGUCCCCCCACAUUGGAACUGAGACACGGUCCAAACUCUACGGAGGCAGCAGUGAGGAAUAUUGGUCAAUGGGCAGAGCCUGACGGAGCAACGCCGCGUGAGUGAUGAC